This 587-nucleotide long non-coding RNA is filed under the name Marmota monax (woodchuck). The record is from RNAcentral. Lineage: Eukaryota; Metazoa; Chordata; Mammalia; Rodentia; Sciuridae.
AGUACCUUCAAUGGACAGGAACUGGCAAAGAGUUUCAAAAUAGCCGAGUGCUCUCCCCACGCCCCCGGGGGUCCCGGGCGGUAGGUCCAGGGCUCCCCGAAGAGAGGGCAGACCCCAAUUCGGUCCUAAAAGGAAACUUUCCGGGCCGCGGCUGCACCUGACUUCUCACCGCCCCUCCACCCCACCCCACGCCCGCCAGGCCGCCCGCCCCGCCCCGGCCUGCCGCCCGGAGCGCGAAGGAGGGGGAUAAAUAAAUUCAACUGUUACCGGAAUCCGGGGGGCGUCUGUGAGACACCCAGGGGGAAGGGGGGCCGGCGCCCAUUCUCCACUCCUAGGCCUUGACGCCCCUGACGCCCCUGUCCCGUCAGUCCGGGCCUGCCGCCCCGCGGGAGAGCCUCGGGGCCGGCGCCGAAUUUCGCCCCGCAGCGCCGCCGUCCCGCCUGGAGGCCCCGAGGGACCCGAGGGGGCGCGUGCAGGCCCGGGGUGCGGGGGCAGGGCGCGGCCGCCGCGGGGCCCGCCGGCCCGGGGCCUAGCCGGCCCCCCCCCCCCCCCCCGCCGCACACCCCCACCCCGGCCCGCACAGGCCU